AUUUUAUUAAGAUGUUUGUCCACUAACUUCCAUUUAAUAAAUUACAUCAGUACUUUAGGCCUAAUUAAUUUGUUGAGAAAGUGUUAGCUCUUACCCAGUUUCUAUUUGUACUGCCUUAUAGACAUGUGGUUCUACCAGGGGUAGGGAGCAUCAUUUAUUCUCUUCUUUCCAUAUAGAACAGUAAUUUGAAAAAUUCCUAUACUCUUUUGAAAAAAAAUAUGUUUUUAAAGUUUAGCUUUCAAUAUAAAGUAAUGAUUCAUAGAGCCUCUACUAAAAACUCCACAGUUAAAUCUAAGUGUAAUUAUACUAAAAGCACCAUAAAUGACGUAUCAUGGGUUCGAAAUACAGUAAAUUUUCAAUUCCUUUUCACUGUGUAGCUGACUGAGGAAAUAGUCUUUCCUCUUCUAUGUUCUGAACUCCUGCUGUCUAUAUUUUGAGCAAAUUCUAAUUAUCUGGCCUGGGCUAAAGGUGCCUCAGUUUCCAAAAAUUUGUUCAGAAUAUGUUCUGUUGUCAGUUUGUAAGGAGGGUUUUACCCUGCAGAGAGCAUGAUUGUAUGUGUCUGAGUACUUUUGAUACUAAGAAAAGCAGAGUUCCAAGCCAGGUGUGGUGGUACAUGCCUAUAAUCCCAGCAACUUAAGGAAACCGAGGCAGGAGGACCUCAGGUUCAAAGCCAGCUUCAGCAAUUUAGUGAGACC
RNAcentral lists this long non-coding RNA (695 nucleotides) under Marmota monax (woodchuck). The record is from RNAcentral. Lineage: Eukaryota; Metazoa; Chordata; Mammalia; Rodentia; Sciuridae.